CCUACGGGGGACAGCAGUGGGGAAUAUUGCACAAUGGGGGAAACCCUGAUGCAGCCACGCCGCGUGAGUGAUGAAGUAUUUCGGGAUGUAAAGCUCUAUCUGCAAGGAAGUGAAUGACGGUACCUGACUAAGAAGCCCCGGCUAACUACGUUCCAGCAGCCGCGGUAAUACGGAGGGGGCGAGCGUUAUCCGGAUUUACUGGGUGUAAAGGGGGCGUAGACGGUUCUGCAAGUCUGAAGUGAAAGCCCGUGGCUUAACCGCGGAACGGCUGUGGAAACUGUGGAACUGGAGUGCUGGAGAGGCAAGCGGAAUUCGUAGUGUAGCGGUGAAAUGCGUAGAUAUCAGGAGGAACACCAGUGGCGAAGGCGGCUUGCUGGACAGUAACUGACGUUGAGGCUCGAAAGCGUGGGGAGCAAACAGGAUUAGAUACCCUUGUAGUC
This 440-nucleotide ribosomal RNA is filed under the name uncultured bacterium. RNAcentral describes it as "partial 16S ribosomal RNA". It matches the Rfam family "Bacterial small subunit ribosomal RNA", at positions 338 to 795 of the family's 1533-position model. The record is from RNAcentral.